This 73-nucleotide transfer RNA is filed under the name Stegodyphus mimosarum. It matches the Rfam family "tRNA". Rfam says of the family: Transfer RNA (tRNA) molecules are approximately 80 nucleotides in length. Their secondary structure includes four short double-helical elements and three loops (D, anti-codon, and T loops). Lineage: Eukaryota; Metazoa; Arthropoda; Arachnida; Araneae; Eresidae. The record is from Rfam by way of RNAcentral.
GCCUUCGUGGUGUAGUGGUCAGCACGCUCAACGGGUUCUCGAGAGGUCUGUGGUUCGAGUCCCGGCCAGGGCA